RNAcentral lists this unclassified non-coding RNA (210 nucleotides) under Hevea brasiliensis (rubber tree). Lineage: Eukaryota; Viridiplantae; Streptophyta; Magnoliopsida; Malpighiales; Euphorbiaceae. The record is from RNAcentral.
CAGCUUGUGGAGUUUGCCAUUCUGAUCUGCACGUUAUGAAGGGCGAGAUUCCAUUCCCUAGCCCUUGUGUAGUUGGGCAUGAGAUCACUGGUGAAGUUGUCGAACAUGGACCUCUCACAGACAGGAAAACAAUAGAAAGACUUCCAAUUGGGGCUCAUGUUGUAGGAGCUUUCAUCAUGCCUUGUGGAAACUGUUCCUACUGUUCAAAGG